GGUUUUUUGAAUAAUAAUUUAAGAUUAGUUCUGCUCAAUGAUGUAUAAAUUAAAUAGCCGCAGUAUUUUGACUGUGCAAAGGUAGCAUAAUCAAUUGUUUUUUAAUUGAGAACUGGAAUGAAGGAAUUGAUGAAAUUAAAACUAUCUAUAAUAGAAUAUUAAAAUUUAAAUUUUAAGUAAUAAUUCUUAAAUAAGAUUAUGGGACGAGAAGACCCUAUAGAAUUUAAUAUAAUUUUUUAAAAUAUAAAUAUUAUUAAUAAAUUUAGUGAAAUUAAUAUUUUAUUGGGAGGAUAAUUAAAUUAAAUUAACUUUAAAUUUAAAAUUAAACAUUAAUUUAUGAGAAAAUUGAGUAAUUUUUAAUAAAUAUAAUAAAAUUAAUAGAAAAUUAAUUACCUUAGGGAUAACAGCGUAAUAUUUUUAAAAAGAUCAUAUUAAUAAAAAUGUUUGCGACCUCGAUGUUGAAUUAAAAUGAAAAUUAAAUGGAGAAGUUUAAUGUUUUAGUCUGUUGUUUAAUGUUUUAGUCUGUU
This 527-nucleotide ribosomal RNA is filed under the name Lasius flavus. RNAcentral's name for it is "partial 16S ribosomal RNA". Lineage: Eukaryota; Metazoa; Arthropoda; Insecta; Hymenoptera; Formicidae. The record is from RNAcentral.